This 503-nucleotide ribosomal RNA is filed under the name uncultured bacterium. Its description in RNAcentral is "partial 16S ribosomal RNA". It matches the Rfam family "Bacterial small subunit ribosomal RNA", at positions 30 to 523 of the family's 1533-position model. The record is from RNAcentral.
AUUGAACGCUGGCGGCAGGCUUAACACAUGCAAGUCGAGCGGGGUGAUGGUGCUUGCACUAUCACUUAGCGGCGGACGGGUGAGUAAUGCUUAGGAAUCUGCCUAUUAGUGGGGGACAACAUCUCGAAAGGGAUGCUAAUACCGCAUACGUCCUACGGGAGAAAGCAGGGGAUCACUUGUGACCUUGCGCUAAUAGAUGAGCCUAAGUCGGAUUAGCUAGUUGGUGGGGUAAAGGCCUACCAAGGCGGCGAUCUGUAGCGGGUCUGAGAGGAUGAUCCGGCACACUGGGACUGGGACACGGCCCAGACUCCUACGGGAGGCAGCAGUGGGGAAUAUUGGACAAUGGGGGGAACCCUGAUCCAGCCAUGCCGCGUGUGUGAAGAAGGCCUUAUGGUUGUAAAGCACUUUAAGCGAGGAGGAGGCUCUUUUGGUUAAUACCCAAGAUGAGUGGACGUUACUCGCAGAAUAAGCACCGGCUAACUCUUUGCCAGCCGCCGCAGUAA